GAACGAGGAUGAAGUAACAUCUAAAAAAUUUACAACGUUCAUAUUUACUUCGGCGGUGAUUUUCAGGUCAAAUUGCUCGAAAAUUUUGUGUAGCCUAUAGAAAUUAGAAAAGAGCUACACAAAAUUUUCGAGCAAUUUGACCUGAAAAUCACCGCCGAAGUAAAUAUGAACGUUGUAAAUUUUUUAGAUGUUACUUUCGACCUGAUC
This is a non-coding RNA of Paramuricea clavata, 207 nucleotides long. The record is from the annotation of a GenBank genome assembly. Lineage: Eukaryota; Metazoa; Cnidaria; Anthozoa; Malacalcyonacea; Plexauridae.